Molecule: non-coding RNA, 122 nt
Organism: Clostridium sp. CAG:628
Lineage: Bacteria; Bacillati; Bacillota; Clostridia; Eubacteriales; Clostridiaceae
Source: Rfam
UUAUAUUACCGGAGAAAAUCUCGUCAGGUCGAUAGUUAGGUAGUGAAUAGUUUUAUUUAAGCGUAUCUUAAGUACGCCACCCUAAUUGGUAAAAGCCCUUGCGGGGCUUUUUUCUUUGACCA